AAAUGAAAGGCCAGAUCCCAGAUGGAUUGCUUUCUCUUUUAUUUCUUGCAUUAGAACAAUCUCCGCAAGAAGUGACCUACUUUCUCACAAGGCAUUUACUGUCAUAUUUUGACCCAUCUACAGGUAUACUGCCCAUAAUGCUAGUGAUUCUUCUGAGCCUGGGAACAUAACUCAAAACCAAACCCAAACAAAAACCCUAAACUCAUUGUCUUAUCACCUCUCGUGUUUUUUAAAUCCACUGCCACAGCAUAUAAACAGUAAUUGUAUCAUAUUAAUUAUAUACCUACGUAAGUGAUAAAAUGUCAUAAGUAUUGAUCACUACACCAAUGAGCUAAGGUGGGCUCCUUAGCGAAAACAGCAUUGUUCCUGCUGGAUAGCAAAACUUAAGUGACUAGAACCAGAAAAAAUGAAUUCACUGUAUUUUAUUCUUGGUUGUUCUUGUAGCAGACAAUGCAAUCAUACUAUUAUUACUAAUUCUUUGCUGAAAGUCCUCCAGCCACCUGAACGGAGCUCCAGACAUUGUAAUGUGAUUCACAAGGAAAUCAUAACAUCAUGGCAACUACACAGCAAAUUGGAGAAAUUAAGACUGGCCAAUGAAAUUGCAAGAUGGAGCAGAAUUAAGGCAGCUAAAAGGAAGGUACAUCAGUUUUCCACCAGACGGGUUUGGAGAUGGCUUGUUACAACACGUCAGUAAGUCCUUGACUGAAUGCUGUCAACAGAGGAGCUCAGCCUUUCCAUGUCAUGCACCACCCUGCAGGAAGUGGGGCUUUCCACCACACUCAAGACGUUAUCAAGGGCACUAAAUUGCCCCCAAGGAUCCUGGAGAGCAUGAAGGAAUGUGAAUGAAUUGGAAAAGGCAUAGAAAGUGGAGUCUUACCCAAGAAAGACCCUGAACAGUCUGGGCAGUAACAGAGACCAUUUCCAGAAGCCAGAGGAGUUUGAACAGUCUUGAGGGAGGAAGCAGGUCAGUAACGAUGAUGAAGAAAAUAAUAUGACUGAAAACAGAGCACAGAGGAAUGACAAAGACGUUGCACCUUUUUUUUUUUUUUUUAAUUUAAAUAUUUCACCUCGGCCUCCCAAAGUGCUGGGAUUACAGGCCUGGGUCACCACAACCAGCCGCAACUCUUGAUCUUGGAAAAAUGGAGGCAGCUUCAUUGUCAGAGAAGGUCUGGACUUGCUGUUAUUUUUUAUAGCUGUUGAAAUUAUUAGGGCCAAAUUAAUGAAUGGAAAUACAGAGAUAUGAGGAAGUUGCCAAUAAGCGGUUAUAUGAAGGCUUCUGGAAGUGAACUGAUGUGGUAAUCACUUAUAAUGUAUAUGUAUAUCAAAUCAUCACGUUGCACACCUUGAAAAUACACAAUUUUUAUUUGUCAAUCAUGUCUCAAUAAAGCUGGAGAAAAAAAUAAAGUAAACCAGUCUGAAUGGCCACGAUUUGUGCUUUUGGAAGAAAUACAUUAAAGCAGAUAUGCAAGUAUUAUGGUUUUUG
This 1483-nucleotide long non-coding RNA is filed under the name Homo sapiens (human). Its description in RNAcentral is "HSALNT0114506". Lineage: Eukaryota; Metazoa; Chordata; Mammalia; Primates; Hominidae. The record is from RNAcentral.